This 432-nucleotide ribosomal RNA is filed under the name uncultured bacterium. RNAcentral's name for it is "bacterial SSU rRNA". It matches the Rfam family "Bacterial small subunit ribosomal RNA", at positions 917 to 1345 of the family's 1533-position model. The record is from RNAcentral.
GGGCCCGCACAAGCGGUGGAGUAUGUGGUUUAAUUCGAUGCAACGCGAAGAACCUUACCAGGGUUUGACAUCCUGCGAAUCUCUUGGAAACAAGAGGGUGCCCUCUCACGAGGGAAUUGAGUGACAGGUGCUGCAUGGCUGUCGUCAGCUCGUGCUGUGAGGUGUUCGGUUAAGUCCGGCAACGAGCGCAACCCCUGUCGCUAGUUACCAGCAUUUAGUUGGGGACUCUAGCGAGACUGCCGGUGAUAAACCGGAGGAAGGUGGGGACGACGUCAAGUCCUCAUGGCCCUUAUGUCUGGGGCUACACACGUGCUACAAUGGCAUCUACAGAAGGCAGCGAAGUCGCAAGGCGGAGCAAAUCCUCAAAAGAUGCCUCAGUUCGGAUUGGAGUCUGCAACUCGACUCCAUGAAGCUGGAAUCGCUAGUAAUCGC